GCAGUGGAGGUGGUGGGAAGUGAUUCCAGGGAGAGUAUUUUUGGAUAUAGAAUAAACAGGACCUGCUGAAACAUGUGGAUGUGAAGGAAGGAGAGGAAUCCAGAAUGACUCUGAGCACAACCUGAUAGAAGGAUGAACCAUUUCUAGAUGAAGGAGCCCUCCAACUGUAUAAUAUUCAAGAUCCAUGAAACUAGGAUCUGCCCUUUAACCUUGGGCAAUGCAGCAGAGGCGACAGGAGCGGAGCAGGUGACUGCCUUCUGCCCACGUUCCGUAGUGGGAGCACUGGUUGAAUGGGUCCACACCCAAGGCCGUCCCAGGCCCUCCACGGCCAGCCCUCUGCUCUUUUAAAGGGACUGCAGAGACUGUUUUCCAAGGAAAGGACCCUCUGGACGGAGCAAAGCGGCACUCUAUUAAUAACAAUAAUAGCACUGAUAACGCGCCAGACACAACCUUUAAGGUAGGUUCUGUUGGCAGCCCCAUUUUACAGAUGAAGAAACUGAGGCCAUCGGGCUGAAGUGUAGGCAUCGAGAAUCACAUGUUCUUCCAGAUUGGCCUUGCGUGCCCGAUGACCUUCCUUCACCUGUAGACUGGAUUCGUUAAUAGUGACUACCCUGUCCGGGAGAUUAAUGCUCGCAAACCAUUUAGUAGCGUGUACAGCGCACAGUUAGCGCUUAGCAAAUAUUAAUUAUCGAUUUUC
Molecule: long non-coding RNA, 697 nt
Organism: Choloepus didactylus (southern two-toed sloth)
Lineage: Eukaryota; Metazoa; Chordata; Mammalia; Pilosa; Megalonychidae
Exons: 3
Source: RefSeq, a predicted model, not a curated record